This is a long non-coding RNA of Nothoprocta perdicaria, 179 nucleotides long. RefSeq lists it as uncharacterized. Lineage: Eukaryota; Metazoa; Chordata; Aves; Tinamiformes; Tinamidae. The record is from RefSeq and is a predicted model, not a curated record. The transcript is spliced from 3 exons.
CAGUUUGCUGAAGAUGGAAACCUACUUUGUGAAAAUGAUGGAUCUUGAAAGGGGGCUUCUACCAUUGAUCCACAGGAUUCUGAACAACGGGCCCAAAACUGAGCAGAGGUUGGAGAUAGAGCUUUACCAGUAUUGAGCAGAAGAGGACGCUUACUUGUAGUAAGAAAAGAGUGGAGCUC